RNAcentral lists this transfer RNA (65 nucleotides) under Caulobothrium sp. MZUSP 7989. Its description in RNAcentral is "tRNA-Trp". Lineage: Eukaryota; Metazoa; Platyhelminthes; Cestoda; Tetraphyllidea. RNAcentral also lists the same sequence under 1 other name. The record is from RNAcentral.
AUAAAAUUAAGUUAGUAGAAGACUGUGUGUUUUCAAAACACUUAGCGGCUUUAUGCCAUUUUAUG